This 817-nucleotide ribosomal RNA is filed under the name uncultured marine bacterium. RNAcentral describes it as "bacterial SSU rRNA". It matches the Rfam family "Bacterial small subunit ribosomal RNA", at positions 59 to 923 of the family's 1533-position model. The record is from RNAcentral.
CAGUCGAACGAAGUAGCAAUACUUAGUGGCAGACGGGUGAGUAACAUGUAGGUAUCUACCCUUUGGCCUGGAAUAACACGAGGAAACUUGUGCUAAUACCGGAUAAGUCUUUACGGAGAAAGCUUUAUGCACCAUUGGAUGAGCCUGCACUUGAUUAGUUUGUUGGUAGGGUAAUGGCCUACCAAGACUGUGAUCAAUAGCUGAUUUGAGAGGAUGAUCAGCCACAUUGGGACUGAGACACGGCCCAAACUCCUACGGGAGGCAGCAGUGGGGAAUCUUGCACAAUGGAGGAAACUCUGAUGCAGCGAUGCCGCGUGAGUGAAGAAGGCCCUUGGGUUGUAAAGCUCUUUCGUCGGGGAAGAAAAUGACUGUACCCGAAUAAGAAGGUCCGGCUAACUUCGUGCCAGCAGCCGCGGUAAUACGAAGGGACCUAGCGUAGUUCGGAAUUACUGGGCUUAAAGAGUUCGUAGGUGGUUGAAAAAGUUGGUGGUGAAAUCCCAGAGCUUAACUCUGGAACUGCCAUCAAAACUUUUCAGCUAGAGUUUGAUAGAGGAAAGCAGAAUUUCUAGUGUAGAGGUGAAAUUCGUAGUUAUUAGAAAGAAUACCAAUUGCGAAGGCAGCUUUCUGGAUCAUUACUGACACUGAGGAACGAAAGCAUGGGUAGCGAAGAGGAUUAGAUACCCUCGUAGUCCAUGCCGUAAACGAUGUGUGUUAGACGUUGGAAAUUUAUUUUCAGUGUCGCAGCGAAAGCAAUAAACACACCGCCUGGGGAGUACGACCGCAAGGUUAAAAACUCAAAUGAAUUGACGGGGACCCG